UACGUAGGUGACCAGCGUUGUCCGGAUUUACUGGGCGUAAAGAGCGCGCAGGCGGUCGUUCAAGUCGAGUGUGAAAGCCCCCGGCUCAACUGGGGAGGGUCAUUCGAUACUGAUCGACUCGAAGGCAGGAGAGGGAAGCGGAAUUCCCGGUGUAGUGGUGAAAUGCGUAGAUAUCGGGAGGAACACCAGUGGCGAAGGCGACUACCUGGCCUGUUCUUGACGCUGAGGCGCGAAAGCUAGGGGAGCAAACGGG
RNAcentral lists this ribosomal RNA (253 nucleotides) under uncultured bacterium. RNAcentral describes it as "partial 16S ribosomal RNA". It matches the Rfam family "Bacterial small subunit ribosomal RNA", at positions 524 to 776 of the family's 1533-position model. The record is from RNAcentral.